AUUAAUUUAUACCUAUAUUUAAUUAUUGGUUUAUGUGCCUUUUGCAUCAUGCUUACGUUAUGUUAGGAAAAAUUUCUUAUAUCGAAAAUUUUGGAUCUUGCUUAUAUUUAUUUAGACUGUAAUAUCAGGUAGAUAGGUUAAAAUUUAAGUAUGUUGUGAUAAAUUAAUCGUCAAAGUUUAUAUCUAUUUUACAGUUAAAAGGAUUUUAUUUUAGCUAUCUGGCGAUGAUGUCAAAUAGUCAAGUAUACUUUGAAUGAUUAGCUUUUUAAUAGGGUUAAAAUUACCUCUUUAUAAAAAUAAUGUUAUAAUUUAUUUAAUAUUGUUUAUAAGUUACUUUUGAUAACUGUGUUAAUAAAUGAUUGUUUAAUAUUAAUGCUUAAAUAAGUAAUAUUAAUAAUUGUAUUAUUUCUCAAUACCUGCCCGUCUGUUUAUUAAAAACAUUUCCAUAAGAAAAGUUUUAUGGUAGUACCUGCUCUAUGUAUAUUAAUAAAUGGCCGCAGUAUCUUGACUGUGCGAAGGUAGCAUAAUUAAUUGCCUUAUAAUUGAAGGCUUGUUUGAAUGGUUUGACGCGGUAGGAUUAAUAUGACAAUUUUAUUUGAAAUUAUUACAGAGGGCACAGAAACCUCUGAUAUUAAUUAGACGGAAAGACCCCGGGAUCUUUGUUUUUUGCUUGGGGCAAGUUGGAAUAUUUCAUUUUAAUUAAGACCCUCUUGGUAUAAUGAGAUAAGUUACCCCGGGGAUAACAGUAUUAUAGUCUAUAAGAGAUCUUAUCGAUUAGGCUGUUUGUUACCUCGAUGUUGACUUAGGUGUAAUCUUAGGCGCAGUAGUUUAAGAAUUAGGUCUGUUCGACCAUAUAAACCUCCAUGAGUUGAGUUAAGACCGGUGUAAGCCAGGUCGGUUCUUAUCUAUUAUUCUUGCUUAUUAGUACGAAAGGACCAUAAGCUUUUUUAUU
Molecule: ribosomal RNA, 952 nt
Rfam family: Bacterial large subunit ribosomal RNA (bases 633-911)